Molecule: ribosomal RNA, 537 nt
Filed under: Oceanobacillus kimchii
Lineage: Bacteria; Bacillati; Bacillota; Bacilli; Caryophanales; Bacillaceae
Description: bacterial SSU rRNA
Rfam family: Bacterial small subunit ribosomal RNA
Source: RNAcentral
UGCAGUCGAGCGCAGGAGUUAUCUGAUCCUCUUUUAGAGGUGACGAUAAUGGAAUGAGCGGCGGACGGGUGAGUAACACGUAGGCAACCUGCCUGUAAGACUGGGAUAACUCGUGGAAACGCGAGCUAAUACCGGAUAACACUUUUCAUCUCCUGAUGAUAAGUUGAAAGGCGGCUUUUGCUGUCACUUACAGAUGGGCCUGCGGCGCAUUAGCUAGUUGGUAAGGUAAUGGCUUACCAAGGCGACGAUGCGUAGCCGACCUGAGAGGGUGAUCGGCCACACUGGGACUGAGACACGGCCCAGACUCCUACGGGAGGCAGCAGUAGGGAAUCUUCCGCAAUGGACGAAAGUCUGACGGAGCAACGCCGCGUGAGUGAUGAAGGUUUUCGGAUCGUAAAACUCUGUUGUUAGGGAAGAACAAGUGCCAUAGUAACUGAUGGCACCUUGACGGUACCUAACCAGAAAGCCACGGCUAACUACGUGCCAGCAGCCGCGGUAAUACGUAGGUGGCAAGCGUUGUCCGGAAUUAUUGAGCGU